AGUUGGCGGCUCCCCAGCGCCCUCCCCGCGCCGCAGUCCGGGAUGAGCGCGAGAGGCGAGGGGGGCCCCGGGCGCGGGGAGCCGGUCUCUCCAGGGGCGCGCGGGGCGGGGGCUGGCACCGAACCACUGAGCCCGCGGAGAGCAAACUCCGUGAACUGAACCCUGAAGAUUUAUUUUGGUGACUCAAACCUCUGCGGAUGAAUGAAGACCACGUAUUAUGAACUCCAAAGAAGUUGUACUUAAAGCGUCAUCAGGCUGAUGAGGGUGCUUCCUAAUGAGGAGCUGCAUUCCUCUUCCCUUCUCUCCUUCUUCUGGUCUGGCUCUGAUCUCAACAGAAUAUUUUCUCAAGGUUGCAAGAUGGUCACAGCAGUUCUACUUCACAUCCUCCUGAAGUCAAGGCCAGCAGGGAAGAGGCUUCCUUUCCCUCCAUAGUCCCAGAACUGAUCUCAUUACAUGUCAUUGGAUCUAAUGAGUCACAUAGCCAUCCUUGAACCACGGACUAUGCUCUGAGGAAUGUGGUACUCAUUUGGUCAAGUCUGAGUCACUGCUCUCUGUUGAAGCCAUUGGUAGAAUCAACACAUAUGUACCAACUGUGAUCGGGAUAGCCCUCCAAAAAAGAUACUGGGUGCUGUCACCAAAAGGAUACUGGACAGCUAAAAAUGGCAAAUGUCCUUCCAAGUAUAUCAUGAUUUCAAGCCUAUUUUGACUAAUAUAGGAAAAACUAGUAGGUUGCAAAACUUAAACCCAAACCAGAAUUUUUCAUCUUUUUAUGAACUUCAUCAUAGAUACGUCCCCAAAUGAGACAUCAUGAUCUAUUCUAACAAAUUCAAAGCAAAUUAGACAAGGUUGUCUUUCUUAUCUUCAUAUUCAAUUUUAAGCAAUGAAUCAAACAAUAUGAAAAAGCUGAAAAUAAAAAAUAGAUCAUGAAUGUAAAAUGUCAUUAAAUAAUGAUGAUGCAUUUUGUGGUAGCUGAUUGCAUUCAGCACUUUCAUUCUGGAAUAAGGUUAUUUUUCUACCUAAGUGUCAUUAGAAGCUUUUCAGAACUGAAUAUACAGUGAUCUAAGAUGCGUAUAGAUGCAUAUUCUGCAUAAGCAAUACCUGAAAACAUGAUGAAACGCCUGGGUGGUUCAGUGGUUGAGCAUCUGCCUUCAGCUCAGGUUGUAAUCCCAGGGUCCUGGGAUUGAGUCCCACAUCGGGCUCCCCACAAGGAGCCUGCUUCUCCCUCUGCCUAUGUCUCUGCCUCUCUCCCAGUGUCUCUCAUGAAUAAAUAAAUAAAUCUUAAAAGAAUACCUGAAAACAUGAAAAACAUACCUAGCAUAAACCGAAACACUUAAAAGCACGUUGUAUGUAAGAAAAUUAAGAAAUCAUCCAAUAUAUAUAAAGAACACUCACAAAUCAAUAAGAAAAAGAUAAACAACCAGCAGAAAAUUGGGCAAAGAUCCUGAACGGACAUGCCUCACAAAGGAGCUAUCCAAAUAACCAAUACACGUAUGAAAAGGUGCUCAACUUUCUUUGUCAUCAAGAAAAUGCAAAUUAAAAGCAUAAUGUAAUAGCACCACACACCCACUAGAAAAAUAACAAAUGUUGGAAAGUAUAUACAGCAACCAGGAUCCUCACCCACCACUGUUGAGAGUAUAACUUGAUACAACCUUUUUGAAAAGUGCCAGAACCUAUUCACGUGGACAUGUGCUUCUUCUAUACCAGUAAUUUCACUCCUAAAAGUAUACCCAAAAGACAUGACCAAGGAUGUUCAUUAGAAGCACAAUUCAUAGCAGUCAAAUACCAAAAACUCCCAAAAGGCCCAUCAGCAGUGGGAUGGAUCAAUAAAUUGUGUUACAGUGGCACAAUUUGAAUCUGUGUAGCAGAAUGAACAGACAGCACAGAUGAGUCCUCACAAACAUAAAAUUAAAUAUAAGAAACCAGCCACAAGGGAUCCCUGGGUGGC
Long non-coding RNA from Canis lupus familiaris (dog), 1945 nucleotides. RefSeq lists it as uncharacterized. The record is from RefSeq and is a predicted model, not a curated record. Lineage: Eukaryota; Metazoa; Chordata; Mammalia; Carnivora; Canidae. The transcript is spliced from 3 exons.